GAAUAUUGGACAAUGGGGGGAACCCUGAUCCCGCCAUGCCGCGUGUGUGAAGAAGGCCUUUUGGGUGUAAAGCACUUUAAGCGAGGAGGAGGCUACUCCAGUACAUACUCUAGGAUAGUGGUCGAUACUCGCAGAAAAAGCACCGGCUAACUCUGUCCCAGCAGCCGCGGUAAUACAGAGGGUGCAAGCGUUAAUCGGAUUUACUGGGCGUAAAGCGCGCGGAAGGGGCCAAUUAAGUCAAGUGUUGAAUCCCCGAGCUUAACUUGGGAAUUGCAUUCGAUACUGGUUGGCCAGAGUAUGGGAGAGGAUGGUAGAAUUCCAGGUGUAGCGGUGAAAUGCGGAGAGAUCUAGAGGAAUACCGAUGGCGAAGGCAGCCAUCUGGCCUAAUACUGACACUGAGGUGCGAAAGCAUGGGGAGCAAACA
Molecule: ribosomal RNA, 424 nt
Filed under: uncultured bacterium
Lineage: Bacteria
Description: partial 16S ribosomal RNA
Rfam family: Bacterial small subunit ribosomal RNA
Source: RNAcentral